AGAGUUUGAUUAUGGCUCAGAGUGAACGCUGGCGGCGUGCUUAACACAUGCAAGUCGAACGAGAACGGAUUAUAGCUUGCUAUAAUUGUCAGCUAAGUGGCGCACGGGUGAGUAAUAUAUAGGUAACAUGCCUCUUACUAAGGGAUAACAGAUGGAAACGUCUGCUAAUACCUUAUAUGCCUUUAAUACUGAAGUAUGCAAGGGAAAGAUUUAUUGGUAAGAGAUUGGCCUGUACGGUAUCAGUUAGUUGGUGAGGUAAAGGCUCACCAAGGCGAUGAUCCGUAGCUGGUCUGAGAGGAUGACCAGCCACACUGGGACUGAGACACGGCCCAGACUCCUACGGGAGGCAGCAGUGGGGAAUAUUGGACAAUGGGGGAAACCCUGAUCCAGCCAUGCCGCGUGUGUGAAGAAGGCCUUCGGGGUGUAAAGUACUUUCAUCUGUGAGGAAAGGCAAGUGGUUAAUACACGCUAGUGGUGACGUUAACAGCAGAAGAGGAGCCGGAUUACUCGGUACCAGCAGCGGUGAUAAUAGCGAGGCUACGAGUGUUAAUGGGAAUUACUGGGAAUAGAGCGCGAGUAGGUGGUUCAGUCAGUCAGAUGAGAUAGCUCGGUGCUCAACUUGGGAACUGCACAUGAUACUGAUGAGCUAGAGUACAGUAGAGGAUAGUGGAUCUGCCGGUGUAGCGGUGAAAUGCGAGAUGAUAGGAAGGAACGCCAGUGGAGAAGGUGACUACGUGGACAGAUACUGACACUGAGGUGAGAGAAGCGUGAGCAGCCAACAGGAUUAUGAUACCGUGGUAGUCCACGCAGUAAACGAUCUCAAGUAGCCGUCGGGGGACUCGAUCCAUUAGAUGGCGAAGCUAACGCGAUAAGUUGACCGCGUGGAGAGUACGGCCGCAAGGUUAAUACUCAAGAUGAAUUGACGGGGGCCCGCACAAGCGGUGGAGCAUGUGGUAUAAUUAGAAGCAACGAGAAGCACCUUACGUCCUCUAGACAUCCAGAGAACUUUCCAGAGAUGGAUGGGUGCGUUCGGGAAAUCUGAGACAGGUGUGGCACGGCUGUGGUCAGAUCGUGUUGUGAAAUGUUGGGUUAAGUCCCGUAACGAGAGCACCCCUUAUCCUUAUAGGCCAGCGCGUAAUGUCGGGAACUUUAAGGCGACUGCCGGUGACAAACCGGAGGAAGGUGGGGAUGACGUCAAGUCAUCAUGGCCCUUACGAGUAGGGCUACACACGUGCUACAAUGGCCGGUACAGAGGGCAGCAAACUCGCGAGAGUAAGCUAAUCUCACAAAACCGGUUGUAGUCCGGAUCGCAUUCUGCAAUUGGAUAGCGGGAAGUCGGAAUCGUUAGUAUUCGUGAUUCAGAAUGUCACGGUGAAUACGUUCCCGGGCCUUGCACUCACCCCCGUC
This 1407-nucleotide ribosomal RNA is filed under the name uncultured Marinobacterium sp. RNAcentral describes it as "partial 16S ribosomal RNA". It matches the Rfam family "Bacterial small subunit ribosomal RNA". Lineage: Bacteria; Pseudomonadati; Pseudomonadota; Gammaproteobacteria; Oceanospirillales; Oceanospirillaceae. The record is from RNAcentral.